UCCCAUGAAGCCCGUUGAAGACUACGACGUUGAUAGGUGAGGUGUGGAAGCGUAGUAAUGCGUGAAGCUAACUCAUACUAAUUGGCUGAUUGUCUUGACCAUAUAUCCUGAAUUGCUUCGGGUUGGGUUUGAGAACGAAGACAAGCUGUGCAAAAAAGCACAGGCGUUUGUGAGACCUGAUUAAUCAAUCUUUACCAGACUGUUAAGUUGGCCAAUGAUAACCAACUGACAGUAACCAGUUUUCCUGGCGACCAUAGCGGUUUGGAACCACCUGACUCCAUCUCGAACUCAGUAGUGAAACAGACCAGCGCCGAUGAUAGUGUGG
RNAcentral lists this unclassified non-coding RNA (325 nucleotides) under Legionella massiliensis. Lineage: Bacteria; Pseudomonadati; Pseudomonadota; Gammaproteobacteria; Legionellales; Legionellaceae. The record is from RNAcentral.